GAGUUUGAUCGUGGCUCAGAUUGAACGCUGGCGGCAGGCCUAACACAUGCAAGUCGAGCGGAUGACGGGAGCUUGCUCCUUGAUUCAGCGGCGGACGGGUGAGUAAUGCCUGGGAAUCUGCCUGGUGGUGGGGGACAACGUUUCGAAAGGAACGCUAAUACCGCAUACGUCCUACGGGAGAAAGCAGGGGACCUUCGGGCCUUGCGCUAUCAGAUGAGCCUAGGUCGGAUUAGCUAGUUGGUGGGGUAAUGGCUCACCAAGGCGACGAUCCGUAACUGGUCUGAGAGGAUGAUCAGUCACACUGGAACUGAGACACGGUCCAGACUCCUACGGGAGGCAGCAGUGGGGAAUAUUGGACAAUGGGCGAAAGCCUGAUCCAGCCAUGCCGCGUGUGUGAAGAAGGUCUUCGGAUUGUAAAGCACUUUAAGUUGGGAGAAGGGCAGUAAGUUAAUACCUUGCUGUUUGACGUUACCGACAGAAUAAGCACCGGCUAACUCUGUGCCAGCCG
Molecule: ribosomal RNA, 508 nt
Filed under: bacterium enrichment culture clone ALO1_GLFRUDD03F8WI3
Lineage: Bacteria
Description: bacterial SSU rRNA
Rfam family: Bacterial small subunit ribosomal RNA
Source: RNAcentral